AAGUCGUAACAAGGUUUCCGUAGGUGAACCUGCGGAAGGAUCAUUAUCGAGUUCCUGCCCUCCGGGGUAGAUCUCCAACCCUUGCCUACCCAACCUCGUUGCUUUGGCGGGCCGUCCCUUCGGCCACCGGCUCCGGCUGGUGUGUGCCCGUCAGAGACUUAUACACGCUUUGAUCGUGUCGUCUGAGUCCUUUUAUAAUCGUUAAAA
Molecule: unclassified non-coding RNA, 207 nt
Filed under: plant metagenome
Description: partial contains small subunit ribosomal RNA and internal transcribed spacer 1
Rfam family: Eukaryotic small subunit ribosomal RNA (bases 1-46)
Source: RNAcentral